This 468-nucleotide ribosomal RNA is filed under the name uncultured bacterium. RNAcentral's name for it is "partial 16S ribosomal RNA". It matches the Rfam family "Bacterial small subunit ribosomal RNA", at positions 28 to 507 of the family's 1533-position model. The record is from RNAcentral.
GACGAACGCUGGCGGCGUGCUUAACACAUGCAAGUCGAGCGGAAAGGCCCUGCUUUUGUGGGGUGCUCGAGUGGCAAACGGGUGAGUAACACGUGAGUAACCUGCCCUGGACUUUGGGAUAACUUCAGGAAACUGGGGCUAAUACCGGAUAGGAGCUCCUGCUGCAUGGUGGGGGUUGGAAAGUUUCGGCGGUUGGGGAUGGACUCGCGGCUUAUCAGCUUGUUGGUGGGGUAGUGGCUUACCAAGGCUUUGACGGGUAGCCGGCCUGAGAGGGUGACCGGCCACAUUGGGACUGAGAGACGGCCCAGACUCCUACGGGAGGCAGCAGUGGGGAAUAUUGCACAAUGGGCGGAAGCCUGAUGCAGCAACGCCGCGUGCGUGAUGACGGCCUUCGGGUUGUAAACCGCUGUCGCCUGUGACGAAGCGGGAGUGACGGUAAUGGGUAAAGAAGCACCGGCUAACUACGUG